Non-coding RNA from Benincasa hispida (wax gourd), 683 nucleotides. The record is from RefSeq and is a predicted model, not a curated record. Lineage: Eukaryota; Viridiplantae; Streptophyta; Magnoliopsida; Cucurbitales; Cucurbitaceae.
CCGAGACUCCAACCCCCUCUCUGCUUUCGUUUUCCCCUUGUUGUUCACGUACCCUAGCAGCCGCCUCAACUCCCGCCAUUCAGACCAAGCUGCAUGAUAUCGUCGACGCUGUCAAGCCACCUUCUCUAACCGUCGACCAAGCCAGCAGCAUCCAUCCGCCCAAUUUGUUCGUCCGGCCCUCACGCCAGCUUGCCUGUCGAGUAGAGUCGUCCCGAUAUGUUCACCCAACCCUCACACCAGAUCACCUGCCGAGUGGAGUCAUCCAGCCACGCGCCGUCGCUCGGGUUUUAGCCUCCGUGAGGCCAUUCAACACCCCAGCCAACCGUCCACGUUCAGCCGUCGAAGUUUUUGCCACCGUCGAAGCCUCAGCCAUCAUUUGAGUUCGUCGACUGCCAAUGCGUAAUCUCAAGGGAAUCUUGAGUUUUGAGGAUUUUGGAGGUUGGACUUGAUAGUUUGAAGGAGUUUAAGAGACUUUUGGCAUGUCGACAUGCAAAGUUGAGGUGAUUUUGGCGAGGAUUUUGGAGGAAAUUCCAAGAUUUUGUAGAUUAGAAGGGUGUUGGUUGCUCGAAUAAUUGUUUGGGCUUAAAUUCAACAUUUGGAGGUGAAUUCGAAUCAGACCACACCUUAGGCUUGAUUAAGGAUUCGAGAAUUUCGCAAAGAUUCAAUUGCUUUUUGGUUCGACC